UAAUAUUUUGAACCGCAUGGUUCAAAAGUGAAAGACGGUCUUGCUGUCACUUAUAGAUGGAUCCGCGCUGCAUUAGCUAGUUGGUAAGGUAACGGCUUACCAAGGCAACGAUGCAUAGCCGACCUGAGAGGGUGAUCGGCCACACUGGAACUGAGACACGGUCCAGACUCCUACGGGAGGCAGCAGUAGGGAAUCUUCCGCAAUGGGCGAAAGCCUGACGGAGCAACGCCGCGUGAGUGAUGAAGGUCUUCGGAUCGUAAAACUCUGUUAUUAGGGAAGAACAUAUGUGUAAGUAACUGUGCACAUCUUGACGGUACCUAAUCAGAAAGCCACGGCUAACUACGUGCCAGCAGCCGCGGUAAUACGUAGGUGGCAAGCGUUAUCCGGAAUUAUUGGGCGUAAAGCGCGCGUAGGCGGUUUUUUAAGUCUGAUGUGAAAGCCCACGGCUCAACCGUGGAGGGUCAUUGGAAACUGGAAAACUUGAGUGCAGAAGAGGAAAGUGGAAUUCCAUGUGUAGCGGUGAAAUGCGCAGAGAUAUGGAGGAACACCAGUGGCGAAGGCGACUUUCUGGUCUGUAACUGACGCUGAUGUGCGAAAGCGUGGGGAUCAAACAGGAUUAGAUACCCUGGUAGUCCACGCCGUAAACGA
RNAcentral lists this ribosomal RNA (648 nucleotides) under Staphylococcus aureus. RNAcentral describes it as "bacterial SSU rRNA". It matches the Rfam family "Bacterial small subunit ribosomal RNA", at positions 173 to 809 of the family's 1533-position model. The record is from RNAcentral. Lineage: Bacteria; Bacillati; Bacillota; Bacilli; Caryophanales; Staphylococcaceae.